UUAUGUUCUAAUACAUAUCACUGGGGUAUGUUUUAUAUUUAUUGUAUAUUGUCUAUCUCCUCCCACUAGAACACAGCUCCACAAAGGGUGAAAUGUUUGCCUGUUUCUUGGUUGACUGCUGUUACCCCUGGGCCUGCAUCAGCACCUGGCGUAUAGUAGACUCUCAAGAACAGCUGUCGAUUAAAUGACUGAAUAUAGCACAUCUGGGAAAACAAAGGCUUGAUUUGGUCCCUGUUUUCAACACUAGCUCUCCCUCCCCCAGGACUGGUCCUCUCCUAGCACUGCCAGCCUCUGCCAGUCCUUAGUGGGACAUGACCUGCCCUUGCCCACACACCUACUCGAUCCUCACUCAGUAGUCAGCAUCCAUAUCCCACUGUGACUGACCCAGGCACACAGUGCCAGCAGCUCGUCCAAACUGGAAACUCUUCAAGUCUCAAAGUCUUUUAUCAGUCUAUUACUUGUCCCUGCAUUCUCUCUUCUGUCCCCCUCACUGUAGACCUUCAGACACUCACCAAUUUCCUGUUCCCUCUCUCAGUCCCUGGGAAGACCGGCAGUGGGGUAGGACGCCAAUCUCCCCAGCUGCUCUUCCAGGCUCCCCUGCCAGAGGAGGCCUUUGGUCUGUGAUUUUUCUGCCAAUUAUUAGAAAGAAAUAGGCCUGGGAUAAUAAAAACAACCAAGGAGGAAUUUAAAAGGUUAUGAAAUCUUUUAAAAUUCUGUUUUCUCAAUUGUAUUUUCUCAUUUGUACUUCUCGGCUCUUUUUUGAGACGUUUACAUAGAAUCAUCAUCUUUCCUUAUAUACUCCCUUUUGGAGGAAAAAGUACUUUCAGAGUUUCUCAAUUAUGUCAAAUAACAGAAAACAUUUAUUGAACAAUUACUAUGUGCUCAGCACCAUAAUGCAUUUCUAUGAAAAUGAGCUCAUUUAAUCCUCACAACCUCUCGGUGAAGUGGAUGCUGUCAAUCUUCCCAUUUCAUGGAGGAAAACUGAGGCCCAGAGAAGUUAUAUGACUCCCGAGUUUACACAGCUACCUAGUGGAGGACUCUAAGUUACAACUUAUCUAAUUUGAGAGUUCAAAUUUUCAACUGCUAUAAAAUAUCUCUGAUACAUGAGAGAAGCUGGAAAGUGAGAUCAUAACCACCAGAAAAAUACUACUUGUUAGUGCCUCAGAAGAACUACCACUGGUGUGAGUAGAAUUACAACACUGGCAACCCAAAAGAGAUACGCAUGUCAUGUUGUCUGAUUUUGGAGACAUUCUUAAUUUUCAGUGGCAGGUGCCAUACAUUUAUUCAUUGAGCAAAUGUUUUACUGAGUACCUUUAAUGUGACAAAAAGCCUGGCCACUGCAGAAACAGGUGAGCAAAAGCAAACACAGCCCUUGCAUUCAUACAACAUAUAUUUCUUCUUGAAAUCAAGUUCCUGGCACUAGGUAUCAAUAGACUUGAAAAUAUGCAUAACCAGCUAGGUGCAGUGGCUCACGCUUGUAAUCCCAGCACUUUGGGAGGCCAAGGCAGGCAGAUCUCUUGAGGUCAGGAGUUUGAGAGACCAGCCUGGCCAACAUGGUGAAACUGUGUCUCUACUAAAAGUACAAAAAUUAGCCAGGCGAGGUGGCGUGUGCGUGUAAUUCCAGUUACCUGGGAGGCUGAAACAUGAGAAUUGCUUGAACCAGAAAGGCAGAGGUUUCAGUGAACCAAGAUCAUGCCACUGCAUUCCAGUCUGGGUGACAGAGAGACUCCAUCUCAAACAAACAAAUGAACAAAAAAAAAAAAAACAAGAAAAUAUAUUUAGCCUAUAACCAAGAAUCUCAUUUCUAGAAAUAAAAAUAAUCUGAAACACAAAUUAAUUAUACAUAUUUAUCAGAGCAUUAUUUGUAAUAGCGACAAAUUAGAAACAACUCAUGUCCAACCAGUCCAACUCAAUGAUUACCAGUAGGUAAAUCAUUAGGUAAGUUGUGGUACAUCCACAUAUUGAAAUAGUCAUUCAUAAUAAUGUUUUCAAAAAGUUUUAAUAUUAUGAACAAAUGCUUAAAUUAUAAUGUUAAAAAUGAGAAAAGUAAGCUAUAAAACAAUCUGUUUAGUAUGCUUUUUGGUACAUAAAAUAAUAUAUAUGACAUUAUUUGGAUAUGUUCGAGUAAGCUAUAUGAUAUUAACAUUUUUAUAGGUCAAAAGGAUCAAAUAUCAACAAUUUCAUAAUGGAAAAAAUCUGAAAACAAAAAAGCCAAAAUAUUAAUGGUGAUGAUUUCUUGGUGGUGGUAUCAUCAGCAAUUUUCACUCUUUUCCUUCUAUUUUUGGCAUUUUCCAGUUUUCAACAAUGUACAUAUAUUUCUAAUAAAAACAUUAUUGGAAAACAAAAAGAGAACAAAUGUUCCUCUUUCAGCUACUUUACUAAAUCAUAAUGCUAAAUGCAGUCUGACUGAGUACCUAUAAUCCAUCAUGCCAGUAACUGCAGCAAAUGUAGCAAUGGCCUGUAAUUCCAUUUUAUACAUACUGCAAUAGAUAUUCAGCCCAGAACGAUAUUUCAAGACAGCAGUUUCUGAAGCAGGGAGUUGGUUCAGAUAAAAUAGAUGCCAGACUAUCAGUGCUUCAUAGCCUUAGAGAUAGGUUGCUAGGACCUAACUCAUAACAUUUCCAAGAAAGCUGCAUAAACUUCUUAUUGAUGAUCUCAAUUACUUCUAAAGCAUUUUUGAGAAAAAAUAUUUUUAGGACCAAAAUAAAAGUAGGUUAUAAAGUCCUAGCUCUUGAGGACAAUGGGGAGAGAAAGAUUUUAUAUGCUGGAAAGAGGGGUUUUUUUUGAUAGAUUAUCUGAAAUAACAUAUCCUUCAUUAGUCAGUGCUAAUGAAUAGUCACAUCUGUUUUCAUGGAACAAUGGAGAAUUACAUAAUUAAUAGUUUAUUCUUUUCAAAAUUUAAUAUAACUGCUCCUUUUACACUUACUUUUAACUCUGUAAGUUAUUCUCUUACUGUCUUUAUAUGUAAUAUAGGAUACACUUGCCCAAAAUCUUGUAGAAUACAUGAGAAUAUACAUACACUAAAAUGUGUAUGUACACAUAUAUAUGUAUACAUACACACACACACACACACACACACACACACACACACACACACACUUCACAGUUUAAUGAGUGCUUACUAUAUGCCAAGUACUAUGUUGAGACUAGGUAUAGACCAGUGAGCAAAACUGACAUGUCUCUUACAGCCCAGUAGCAGAGACAGACAAACAUGCAAAUAUAUGCAAAAUUAUUAAUUGUGAGAAAUCAAAUGAAAGCCAAGAAUAGGACACUGUAAGAAAGAAUUCGGCUGAAGGAGAAUUAGACUGGAGAGAACUUGGAAUCUGAAUCAACAUAGGAUGAUGUCUCUAAGGAGAGGACAUUUACACAGGAGAAUGAGUGGAAGAAAAAGUCUCCUGGGCUUAAGAAAAGAAGGUCCUGACUCAGUGAUAAGGAGUUACCAGUAUUAAGAGAAGGUCAGUAGGCCCAGUGUUUUCUUGAGCAAGGUAGAGGGUCAUCAAAUGGUGUUUGGAAGGGAGGCCUGGGCCAUGUGACUCAGAAGUCUACAGGUCCUGUGGAGGAUUUAUCCUAAGUAGAAUAGGAAUGUGCUAAAGUAUUUGAAACAGGGAAUGGCAUGACUAGAGAAACAUUUUUAAAGCAUUAUUCUACUGAAGUAUUCUACUGGGCUCUAAUGGUUCUACUAUUGUAUUGGGUGAAAUUCUGUGAUGUCUGGUGUUUGCUUUAAUAAAUAUUCCAGAUAUAAAGAAAGAAAAUGUGGGAGUGCCAAGGGAAAUGAUAACAGAUAAAAUAAAACUGUCAAAAUAUUGAAAGUUGCUAAGACUGGGUGAUAAGUACAUGGGAAUUUGUUAUACAUCUCCUUGUGUUUUGGGGUAUGUUUGAAAUUUUUUAAAAUAAAAAGCUUUUUUUCAAAAAGAUAAAGAGUGAGCUUUGGCUCUGAGAUUACCAGUUCAAUUCUGCCACUUACUAUUAGGUAUGUGAUUUUAGAAAAGUGAUUUUUCUUCUAUAAUCUUUAGUUUUCACAUGUAUGGAAUAGUGAUAAUGACAGUACAUACCUCAUAGGCCUGUUAAAUAUAUUAAUGCAAUAAUAGCAGAGAGUUUGGCUCAUAGUAAAAAUCUGGGGAAUGUUAACUAUUAUUUUAGAAUUAACUCCAGGCAUAUUUAUUGUGUGUAUAUAUAUAUAUAUAUAUACACACACACACAUAUAUAUUUGUUUUGUUCUGUUUUGAGACAGAGUCUCACUCCAUCACCCAGGCUGGAGUGCACUGGUGUGAUCUCAGCUCACUGCAGCCUCUGCCUCCUGGGUUCAAGCAAUUCUCACGCCUCAGCCUCCCAAGUAGCUGGAAUUACAGGUGCAUGCCACCAUGCCUGGUUAAUUUUUGUAUUUUUAGUAGAGAUGGGGGUUUCACCAGGCUGGCCUCGAACUCCUGACCCCAAGUGAUUCUCCCUCCUUGGCCUCCCAAAGUGCUGGGGUUACAGGCAUGAGCUAUCAUGCUCUGCAUAUAUAUAUGUAUAUGUAUUUAAACCAUUCUGGUGUCUGUAUGGAAAAUGGAUGGGAGCAAUGAAUGGUGACGUAAAAGAUCAGUUAAGAGCAAUUGGUGAGUUCAGCUGAGUAGCACUGGAGCAAUGGGGAAGGAGUGACAUCGAUUAAGGAGCCGCUGGAAAAUGGAUGGUGCUGAAAGCCCUGCAAAAAACCAAGAUCUCCUGAGAUAGUUCCCAGGGGUUCUUGACUCCUCCAACUUUUUUUUUUUUUUUUUUUUUUUUUUGCCAUGGACUCCUUUGGCAGUGAUAAAGCCUAUAGGCUCCUUCUCAGAAUGAUGUUUUAAGAUGCAUAAAAUAAAAGGCAUAGGAUAACACAGAAAAUUAUCUUGAAAUACAGUUACUAAAAUGUUUAAAAAGUAAUUUUCGAUAUAGUAAAAAGUUUUUUAAUAAUGUAUUAAGUAACUAGAUGCAUAUAUAUUUCAAGCUAUCUAAGUAUAAUGUGACAUAAAAAUAUUGAUUCUUUGUAUUAGUAACUGUCACAGUUCAGUUUCCCCAGAAAGCAGAAUCUAAGCUGGAGAUUGGCAUUUGGGGAGUUUGCUAGGGAACGCUCUUGACAUCAACAUGAGGGAAGGCAAGGUGGAACUGGUCAGAGAAGGAUGACAUUGAGCUGUGAUGAAGUCUGAGAGGAAGCUUCAGCCAACCUUACAGAAGGUCUGAAGAUUAUAUGACCCUUCAGAAGUGCCCUGAAUCAAAGAGGGCCAGGUGUUUAUUACCCAGCUGAGGUGGCUCUCUGCAACUGAGGCCAUUUCCCUGGGGCUGCCAGCUGAGGGCACUCUGCCAACAGCUUUCAUAGUAGCUGGGGUAAGUCCUCAUUUCUGAAAGAAGAUCUAGGUGUAACAUUAUAACAUCAAUCACAGUGACAAAUUUAUAGGUUCUGCAAGUUCCACUGUGGCUUGCUGCCUACAUUCACAGUUGAAGAAAAGACUGAAUUUCGGUUAGAGAUUAGUGGAAAUGAAAAUGUAAUUUUAAAAUCCUAUCCAAAUUCACAAACCCCACAUGGACCCCAGGUUAAGAAUACUUGUGAGUGAGAAUGGGGCCCCAUAUUCAGAGAGGCUGGUCAGGCUCUGUUGUUUGCUGGAACACAGUAAGCUGUCUUCUGCUGUAGGGAAAAAUGAGCAGAUUGAACCUAAGCAUUAAAAUAAAAAAAUGAGCAGGGAAAGUGUGUUUUCCAGAGCAAGAAUGAUGCCCAGGAACAAAGCAAGUCAGACAGGAUAGAGUCCACAGUACCAGAGAAAAGACACAGAUUGAUGUGCAGCUGCCUGAGUCUACUUUUGAAUUACAGAUUUUAAUCCUUCAUGAAACCAAACAAUACCUCCAGUUCUUGGUGUAGAAACACUCCUAUGUCUUUAUAAUGUUAUUUUCUCAUGUAAGCUAGUUUAAGUAGGUUUCUGCUGCUUACAAGCUGACGUAUCUUGUUGAAUACAGAGAUACUUUAAAACUCCUCCCUUAACACACACAUACACAGAAAUUCUUGAAAUUUGCAGGAGUUUGGGGUGAGGAGCAUCUAGCAAGGAACAUGGAGUUGGGAAUGGUUGAAGCAUUGCUGCUGGGAUCUAUUAAGGCUCUGAGCUCUCCAUGAAAGUAUUGGCUUUCUCUUUGAUGGCCUUUGCUGUAUUGGAUAACUCACCUACAAAAAUGACUUAUUUUUAAUGUAGAACUGUGAUAAACUUCAACAUUUUGAUGAUUAUCAUGCUUUAAAAUGAGAAUAAAGAUAGCUAUUAUAUUUUUUAAUUUGACAGAGUAGUGCAGGCAAUAAUGAAAUGGUAUUCAUCUGAAUAGCAAUCUUUAUUUUUAAAAUCCAAAGGCACUCAAUAAUGUGAUCUGUGCACUUUGCUAUUAUGAUAUAUAGCAUAUAAAAUGUUAAGCACGUCUAACAUUUAAUUCAUUUCAAUCAUACCAGUCUGUCAAGAUAUAAUAAAUCAACAAAACCAACAACUCCCUCCCAAACAUUAAUUACCUAGUGAACUACUCUUAGCUUUUUUAUUUAGUCAUGAAAUUUGAAAAUUACCUCUGAAUUAGCAUAGCUAUUCACACAUUAUUUUCCCCAACAACAAAAGAAAUGCCACUGUAACAGCUGCUUCGUACUUUUUAACAUGAAAUUGAUGUUAGUGACAGAUUUUCAAGCAUGUAAUUUGUCUCAACAUGUGUGUCCUUUUAUUUGUAAAAACUCCCAGGACUGAAGAAUGAAGUUUCAAAAAGUUAUUUAUUGUGUCUCCUGGCAGGGUAGAAUCCAUGGAAAACAAUCAACUAACAGAACUGUGUGAUGGUCUAUAAGAUUUGGAAUUAUACCAUUGUUAUAGAGGGGAAAUAAAAGACAUUUCUCCUGUACCAGCUUCUCCUCCCCCACCACCCCUAGUAAGAAGUGGAAAAUGAAUAUACCAAAUGAACAUACUUGGAUUUGAUUUUAUGAUUUGAUUUUUAUGAUGGAACGUCUUGUAAAUGGGAGCAGAUUCCUAAAAAAAUUACAGUGCCAGCCCAGUUCUAAGCACUGCAUCCCCAAUUACUUUGAAAAGAGGCUCUUGUAAGCCAACUGUGCAGUCACCUCUGAUUAUAAGGUUUGGAAGGAGUAUCUUCCAGGACCUACCCUUAGCCUGAUUCAGCAGAUGACAAUCCAUUUCCUUUUAAACUUUUUUUUUGCAUCAGAAGAUGCAGUAAGUUGUAAGUAUUACACAGAAUACUUAGGCACAGAAAACACAAUAAGUAGUAAGAUGUGUCUCUUAAGGGGCUCACAAUUAAGUAUGAAAAGAGAUUAUUAGAGAAACAAAGAGUUAAAUCUUCUAAUAGAGGUGGUGGUAGAAAGGUGUGUUGUAACCAGUCUCUGGUCAAAAUGAAACCAAUUUCGGCUAGAGGAAGCAGGGAUCUGGUUAUACAGAACCCAAAGGACUUAAAGUUGGUGAAAAAAGGAAGCAGCAAGUAGAGCAAAGAUGGGUUGUCCAACUCCCCUUGAUUGCACUCUCUCCAGGGGAGGGAACAAUAACCCCUUACUCCUUGAGACCAGUCAACAUGUGUUUGCCCUUGAGAUAGCUUUCCCUAGUGUCUCUGGGGAGCUAGGAAACAACAGGUUAGGGUCUUUGUAAUUCUUGCCUCUGCCAGGGCCUUGGCCAGAGAUCUGGGAGGACAACAGACUCUUCCCCUAUGUGCUGCUAGAAAACUGGUUGUAAUACUGUUUUCUUUUCUUUCUUUCUUAAUUUUUUUAAGAGACAGGAUCUCACUUUGUUGUUCAGGCUGUAGUGCAGUGGGGCAGUUGUGGCCCACUGCAGCCUCGACCCCCUGGGCUCAAGUAAUCUUCCCGCCUCAGGCUCCUGAGAACCUAGGACAACAGGUGCUCACUGCCAUGCCUGGCUUUUUUUUUUUUUUUUUUUUUUUUUUUUUUAAUUUUUGGUAGAGACAGGGUCUCUUUAUGUUGCCCAGGCUGGUCUUGAAUUCCUGGCCUCAAGUGAUCCUUCUACUUCAGCCUUUUAAAGUGCUGGGAUUAUAGGCAUGAGCCACCAAGCCCAGCUGCUUGUAACAUUCUUGAAAUGUUGACCCCACUGGAGUGACCAGCAGAGCUUGCCAUGCCUCCCGAUCUGUACUCUUUGCUGUAGUUUAGAUAUUUGUCCGCUUCAAAUCUCAUGUUGAAAUCUGAUCCCCAGUGUUGGAAGUCGGGUUUAGUGGGAGGUGUUUGGAUCAUAAGGAUGGAUCCCUCAUAAAUAGAUUAAUGCCCUGCCAUGGUGAGAGUAGUGAGUGAGUUCUCUAUUAGUUUUCCCAAGAGCUGGUUUUUUAAAAGAGCCCGGUGCUUCCCUCUCUCUCUUGCUUCCUCUCUCACCCUGUGAUUUCUGCACACACUGGCUCCUCUUCCCCUUUUGCCAUGAGUGGAAGCAACCUCCAGCCUUUACCUGAUGUAGAUACUGGUGCUGAUUUUUGUACAGCCUAUAGAAUUGUGACCUAAACAAACCUCCUUUUCUUUAUAAAUCACCCAGACUCAGAUAUUCCUUUAUAGUAACACAAACAGAUUAAGACACUUCCCACCCAGUUGUCUCUCAGACCUCAUUACGGUUAUUCUUCUUACAUGUGUUCCACUUUAGCUGCUUGGGUCCCCAUGCUUUUCUCAACACACAGGCUGGUGCUCCUUCUUGCCUUUGCAUUGUCGUCCCCUCUCCUGGGAACAUGCCUCCUUUAGUGACCUGAAUGGCUCACCACUUCACCUCCUGUAGGUCUUUGCUUUGGUGUCACCUUCUCAGUGUGGCAUUCCCUGGCCAUCCUAUUUGACACUGGCCCUACUUCUUUCCAGAGUUCUAUCUUUCCUGCUUGAUUUUCCUCUGUUGUACUCAUCCCUACCCACAUACUUUGUAUUCCUCUUUUUUAAUUUGUUUAUUGCCUUUUUUCCUCCUUUAGACCACAAGCUCCAUGAGGACAGAAAUUUUGCUCUGCUUUAUCCCCUGAUCUCUCCCCAGCACCUAGCACAUUGUACCUGGUGUAUAAUACAUUUUUUUAAGAUCUCUCCCCAGUACCUAGCACAUUGUACCUGGUGCAUAAUACAUUUUUUUUUUUUAAGAGACAGGGUCUUGUUCUAUCACCCAGGCUAGAGUGCAGUGGCAUGAUCAUAGCUCACUGCAGCCUCAAACUCCUGGGCUCAAGCAAUUCUCCUGCCCCAACCUCCUAAGUAGACGGGACCACAAGUGUGUGCCACCAUACCUGGCUAAUUUUUUUUUUUUUUUUUUUUGAGAUGGAGUCUCCGCUCUGUUGCCCAGGCUGGAGUGCAGUGGCAUGAUCUUGGCUCACUGCAAGCUCCGCCUCCCGGGUUCAUGCCAUUCUCCUGCCUCAGCCUCCCGAGUAGCUGGGACUACAAGCGCCCACCACCAUGCCCGGCUAAUUUUUAUAUUUUUAGUAGAGACGGGGUUUCAUCGUGUUAUACCUGGCUAAUUUUUUAAAACCAUCUGUAGAUAUGGGGUCUUGCCAUGUUGCCCAGGCUGGUCUCCUGGCCUCAAGCAAUCCUCCUGCCCUGGCCUCCCAAAGUUCUGAAAUUAUAGGUGUGAGCCACUGGGCUUGCCUACAAAUAUUUUAAAGAGUUAAAUUAAAUAUAUAUACAUUUCAAAACUUUUCCUUUUUGUAGAAUAUGUGCCCCAAACGGCCAAUAUUCGAACUGUUUUCUCACUAUUUUUUUGUAGGGUGAGCUUGCUGAUAGCCAUAUGUGCUAGCCAAUACUGGAUUUUCUGAUGUCUUUAUUCAUUUAAAAAUUAUCCUUUAUGGUGACUUUAUUACUGAGCUCUCCUCUUCUGCUUGUGUACUGUGCAGUCUACUAUGGGAGGAGUGAGUCCAGUUAAGGUGCCCUUCUUUAAGGGGAGGCCUGCUAAGUGGAUCUUCUCUAGAUAGUGAGGAGAACCGGUGAGUGAGCAAUCUAGACCAGAACACGUAUAAUACUGGAGGGGUCUUUAGCCCAGAGAUUUACAAAGAAGACCAAAGGAUUUAUCAGUAAUUACCCUAUCUAUGUAAUACAUGUAGAUAAAGAUAGAUAGGCAUGUAUAUGCAUAUAUACAGAUACCUAUGUAUAUAUCUAUCUAUAUACAUAUAUACAUGUAGAUAUAUACAUACCUAUAUACAUGUAGAAAUACAGAUGUAGAUAUAAAUAUAUAUAUGUGUAUAGAGAUAUGUGUAGACAUAUAUAGAUGUAUACAUAUAUAGAUAGAUAGGUCUAUAUAGAAAACCAUCUAUCUAUAUCUAGAUAGAGAUAUGUAUUGAUAGAUAUCUCUCCCUAUCUAUCUCUAGAUAGAUUAUCUAAUCUAUCUGUAAAACUAUCUUAAAACCAUACUAAUUUAAAAAUCAAGAUUCAUCUUAAUUUAAAAAUCUUAAUUUAAAAGUUAAGAACCAUCUUUAUUUUGUGGUUCAUAUACACCAUGGAAUGUUAGGCAGCCAUAAAAGAGAGUGAGAUCAAGUCCUUUGCAGGAACAUGGAUGGAGCUGGAUGGAGGUCUUUAUCCUUAACAAACUAAGGCAGGAACAGAAAACCAAAUACUGCAUGUUCUCAUUUACAAAUGGGAGCUAAAUUAUGAGAACACAUGAACACAUAGAGGGAAACAACAGACACUGGGGCCUCUGGGAGGGUGGAUGGUGGGAGGAAGCAGAAGAUCAGGAAAAACAAUUAAUGGGUACUAGGCUUAAUAGCUGGGUGGUGAAAUAAUCUGCACAACAAAUCCCUGUGACACUAGUUUACCUACAUAACAAACCUACGCAUGUGCCAUUGACCUGAAAAUAAAAGUUAAAAAAAUUAUUAAAAAUAUGUCAGUAAAAGUCUUUAACCAACACCAAAUGGUUCAUCCCAAGAGUCAUCUUAAUUUAAAAAUCUUCACAUCUUAAGAAGCUACAUGGGAGGCUGCGGCAGGAGAAUGGCUUGAACCCAGCAGGCAGGGGUUGCAGUGAAGCGAGAUGAUAACAUUGUACUCCAGCCCAGGUGACAGUGUGAGAC
Molecule: long non-coding RNA, 10980 nt
Filed under: Homo sapiens (human)
Lineage: Eukaryota; Metazoa; Chordata; Mammalia; Primates; Hominidae
Description: HSALNT0359072
Source: RNAcentral